UACGAAGGGGGCUAGCGUUGUUCGGAAUUACUGGGCGUAAAGCGCACGUAGGCGGACUUGUCAGUCAGAGGUGAAAUCCCGAAGCUUAACUUCGGAACUGCCUUUGAUACUGCAAGUCUUGAGGAUGAGAGAGGUAAGUGGAACUGCGAGUGUAGAGGUGAAAUUCGUAGAUAUUCGGAAGAACACCAGUGGCGAAGGCGACUUACUGGACACAUAUUGACGCUGAGGUGCGAAAGCGUGGGGAGCAAACAGG
Molecule: ribosomal RNA, 253 nt
Filed under: uncultured bacterium
Lineage: Bacteria
Description: partial 16S ribosomal RNA
Rfam family: Bacterial small subunit ribosomal RNA
Source: RNAcentral